Molecule: ribosomal RNA, 700 nt
Filed under: uncultured Mycobacterium sp.
Lineage: Bacteria; Bacillati; Actinomycetota; Actinomycetes; Mycobacteriales; Mycobacteriaceae
Description: bacterial SSU rRNA
Rfam family: Bacterial small subunit ribosomal RNA
Source: RNAcentral
GCACUUCGGGAUAAGCUUGGGAAACUGGGUCUAAUACCGGAUAGGACUACGGCCUGCAUGGGUUGUGGUGGAAAGCUUUUGCGGUGUGGGAUGGGCCCGCGGCCUAUCAGCUUGUUGGUGGGGUGAUGGCCUACCAAGGCGACGACGGGUAGCCGGCCUGAGAGGGUGUCCGGCCACACUGGGACUGAGAUACGGCCCAGACUCCUACGGGAGGCAGCAGUGGGGAAUAUUGCACAAUGGGCGCAAGCCUGAUGCAGCGACGCCGCGUGGGGGAUGACGGCCUUCGGGUUGUAAACCUCUUUCACCAUCGGCGAAGCCGGGAGCUUUUGUUUUCGGUGACGGUAGGUGGAGAAGAAGCACCGGCCAACUACGUGCCAGCAGCCGCGGUAAUACGUAGGGUGCGAGCGUUGUCCGGAAUUACUGGGCGUAAAGAGCUCGUAGGUGGUUUGUCGCGUUGUUCGUGAAAACUCACGGCUUAACUGUGAGCGUGCGGGCGAUACGGGCAGACUGGAGUACUGCAGGGGAGACUGGAAUUCCUGGUGUAGCGGUGGAAUGCGCAGAUAUCAGGAGGAAUACCGGUGGCGAAGGCGGGUCUCUGGGCAGUAACUGACGCUGAGGAGCGAAAGCGUGGGGAGCGAACAGGAUUAGAUACCCUGGUAGUCCACGCCGUAAACGGUGGGUACUAGGUGUGGGUUUCCUU